RNAcentral lists this ribosomal RNA (535 nucleotides) under Alteromonas sp. Its description in RNAcentral is "bacterial SSU rRNA". It matches the Rfam family "Bacterial small subunit ribosomal RNA", at positions 380 to 907 of the family's 1533-position model. The record is from RNAcentral. Lineage: Bacteria; Pseudomonadati; Pseudomonadota; Gammaproteobacteria; Alteromonadales; Alteromonadaceae.
GACCUGAUGCAGCCAUGCCGCGUGUGUGAAGAAGGCCUUCGGGUUGUAAAGCACUUUCAGUUGUGAGGAAAAGUUAGUAGUUAAUACCUGCUAGCCGUGACGUUAACAACAGAAGAAGCACCGGCUAACUCCGUGCCAGCAGCCGCGGUAAUACGGAGGGUGCGAGCGUUAAUCGGAAUUACUGGGCGUAAAGCGCACGCAGGCGGUUUGUUAAGCUAGAUGUGAAAGCCCCGGGCUCAACCUGGGAUGGUCAUUUAGAACUGGCAGACUAGAGUCUUGGAGAGGGGAGUGGAAUUCCAGGUGUAGCGGUGAAAUGCGUAGAUAUCUGGAGGAACAUCAGUGGCGAAGGCGACUCCCUGGCCAAAGACUGACGCUCAUGUGCGAAAGUGUGGGUAGCGAACAGGAUUAGAUACCCUGGUAGUCCACACCGUAAACGCUGUCUACUAGCUGUUUGUGACUUUAAGCCGUGAGUAGCGAAGCUAACGCGAUAAGUAGACCGCCUGGGGAGUACGGCCGCAAGGUUAAAACUCAAAUG